This 2052-nucleotide small RNA is filed under the name Pan troglodytes (chimpanzee). RNAcentral's name for it is "retained intron". Lineage: Eukaryota; Metazoa; Chordata; Mammalia; Primates; Hominidae. The record is from RNAcentral.
UGGGAGGCUGUGACAGGAGGAUUGCUUGAGCCUGGGAGGAUGAGGCUGCAGUGAUCUGUAUUCACGCCACUGCACUCUAGCCUGGGUGACAAAGCGAGACCCUCUCUCAAAACAAAAACAAAAACUCCAAAGAUUUGAUUAUAGGGACCCCAUGGGUCCUCUUGGGUUACUGGGGUGCAUUAGGGUAUCUGUGGAUCCCCUUUACUUGCAGGCACAGUCUUGUCUACAGUUUCUGCAUACAUAUUUCACAUAUACUUUUUGGGGGGACAGUUUUGGGCUUCAUCCAAUUCUCAGGCAAAUUGGGUCCCAAAUGGGUUUUAACAACACUGAUCUAGGGUAAUGAUUUCCAAUAUUUUUGGAUCAUGGACCCCCAACAGUUGAAAAUUGAGCACACAGCUGUAUGUUUAUGUGUUCCAAAAUGCAAUUGUGUAUGACUGUAUGAAUAUUUCAGGCAUAUUAUAAAACAUAUAUAAGGAUAACUGUACACAUAAACCUGUCCUCUAUUGAAAUGUUUUGGGUAUGUGCUCUUUGAAGAACAUUGAUGAAGGUCUUACUAGGGUAAGAGUCUUUUUCUGAUGGAGCACGACACACACAUUGGUAUUCCCUGCCUUGGUACAAGUGGAAUACGGUUUUGCAGACACAGUGGGAGUGAGGAUCCUUUGUGGGAUUUUGCAAUACAAGGUUUCAAGCUGUGUUGUGCUGAGGUAUCAACAGUCUGUACAAGAGGGCCUGUGGAAAUAAGGAGGGACUUAGCCAAUUAAAUUCUUAAUAAAUUAUUAGCAGAUCUGAAAAUUAUUUGGUAUUUAGGACUUAAUACUGUUUACUGUAGAAGAUAAAAUGAAGCUGAUUUUAAUUCAGUUGAUGUUCUUUGAGGAAAUGGAGAGUAUUUUGAAUUAAAAAGAAAAUCCUUACUGAAUGGAAAUAAUCAGCACGCAGCACUACAUGGUAUCGAAACCUCAAUUACUGUUAUGAAUUUACUAAAUGAGUUAACUCUGAUUUUUCUCAUUGUUUAUUGAAAUCAGUUCUUAAAAAGGCUGAAUCUGAUUUCAUUGUAUUUCUAGGGUGAUAAAAGAAAAUGUGGCUGAAGUUACCCGAAGUUCAGCUUGCAGUGUAAUUCAGAAGAGUUAAGACCAGAAGUACUGGAAUCAUACUUCCUUUCAGGUCAAAACAUUUUGUGGGAAAUAUCCUGUUCGUGACCUAGGAGAAACAAGACAGAAAACAAAUCUUACUUCAUUUAUGAAUUUCUUACUCCAUACAAGCAGUUUAUGGAUGUCUGGGCAAUCAUAGCACUUGCCAUUUAAAAACAUGCUACAGGGGCACAUUUUCUGUGGUUAAAAAUGAUCUCCAGAAUAAGUGUAAACUGCAGUUUUCCUUUGCAUCGAGGGUUUUGGCUUUUUAUUUGUAAAUUAAAUCAAGAUGUUACCCACUCCUUGGUGUGGUGGUCUUGCUGGUUCGUGUUGGGAAGUAGUAUGGCAGCAACGCACAAAUUCAGAAUAGCCAAGAAAUCCCUCCUUUUCAACGCUCUGUGCCUGGGAACCAUUAGAGGGGUUUUAAAAACCAUCCCUCAUAGCCCACAAUUUUGGGUCAACUCUCAAAAUUGGGAAUAAGAAAACUGGCAUUGUUGGGAGAAAAAUCGUUCUUACUGAAGCAUGAACUGGCUCAGGCAAGCAAAUAGCGGGAGUCGGCACAGGAAGGUGUGCUGCGGGGAUGCGUGGUGGCGUCACCUUCAAAACUAAAGUGGUGCCAGGCGGACAGAUGAGUCCUUGAUCUUGUUUCCUGAUCUUGUUUCCAUUUGACUGAAUUCUGAACCUUCAUUGUCUUCACAGUCUUGCCACUUUCCUAGUGAGGCUUUUCCGAACCUGGAAGGAGACGUCUAGAAAUCCCAGCUUUGCUGUGUAAGGACCAUUAGCUGCAAGUCAGUGGAAGUCUAUAGAAAGCAGUGUGAAUUCCAUAGUGGUCUUGACUUAGCAAGGAUUUGGGAUAAGUCUAAAACUUCAGACUUAAAGCUUUGAAACAUGUUAACUGCAUGAAAUAGUAAACAUUUCGAACUUC